UACGGAGGAUCCAAGCGUUAUCCGGAUUUAUUGGGUUUAAAGGGUCCGUAGGCGGUUUAGUAAGUCAGUGGUGAAAGCCCAUCGCUCAACGGUGGAACGGCCAUUGAUACUGCUAGACUUGAAUUAUUAGGAAGUAACUAGAAUAUGUAGUGUAGCGGUGAAAUGCUUAGAGAUUACAUGGAAUACCAAUUGCGAAGGCAGGUUACUACUAAUGGAUUGACGCUGAUGGACGAAAGCGUGGGUAGCGAACAGG
RNAcentral lists this ribosomal RNA (253 nucleotides) under uncultured bacterium. Its description in RNAcentral is "partial 16S ribosomal RNA". It matches the Rfam family "Bacterial small subunit ribosomal RNA", at positions 524 to 776 of the family's 1533-position model. The record is from RNAcentral.